RNAcentral lists this ribosomal RNA (253 nucleotides) under uncultured bacterium. Its description in RNAcentral is "partial 16S ribosomal RNA". It matches the Rfam family "Bacterial small subunit ribosomal RNA", at positions 524 to 776 of the family's 1533-position model. The record is from RNAcentral.
UACGUAGGGGGCUAGCGUUGUCCGGAAUCAUUGGGCGUAAAGCGCGUGUAGGCGGUUCGGUAAGUCCGCUGUGAAAGUCGGGGGCUCAACCCUCGAAUGCCGGUGGAUACUGUCGGGCUAGAGUGCGGAAGAGGCGAGUGGAAUUCCUGGUGUAGCGGUGAAAUGCGCAGAUAUCAGGAGGAACACCGAUUGCGAAGGCAGCUCGCUGGGACGUUACUGACGCUGAGACGCGAAAGCGUGGGGAGCAAACAGG